GCCCGGUUAGCUCAGCUGGUUAGAGCGUCGUACUAAUAUUGUGGGCUUCCACGGUCCACUAUAUCAUGUCAUGCGAAGGUCAACAGUUCAAUCCUGUUACUGGGCA
This is a non-coding RNA of Thermothelomyces thermophilus ATCC 42464, 106 nucleotides long. Lineage: Eukaryota; Fungi; Ascomycota; Sordariomycetes; Sordariales; Chaetomiaceae. The record is from the annotation of a RefSeq genome assembly.